GGGGCGUAGCUCAGUUGGAUAGAGCAACGGUUUUCUAAACCGUAGGUCACAGGUUCGAGUCCUGUCGCCC
Molecule: transfer RNA, 70 nt
Filed under: marine eukaryotic metagenome
Rfam family: tRNA
About the family: Transfer RNA (tRNA) molecules are approximately 80 nucleotides in length. Their secondary structure includes four short double-helical elements and three loops (D, anti-codon, and T loops).
Source: RNAcentral